AUAGGCAAAUCCCCUUUUUUUCCUAGCACGAUUCGCGCAGUUACACUCUGUCUUCACUACUACACUCCAUCUUCCACUACUAUGCUCCUGACUUCCACCACUACACUCCGUCUUCCAGUUCCUGCAUUCCAUUGACACAAGCACACACUUGCACUAUGUCUACCACAAGCACACACUGCACCAUAAAUUUUGAUACAAUUGCACGAUUCUGGCUUGGGUCCUUUGUAAGAUUUACAAGAGCGGUGCUAGAAGAAUUGGGCGAUUCCUUUGACACAAUUUGUAUAGUGUUGGCAUGACAUCACGGCUAUCAAGACCAAUUGAUGACAGAUCACCAUCAUCACAUUCAGAGCAAUCUUCUCCACAUGAUACUAGAGCAAGCUCUUCUAGUUUGUUUCUCAUUCAAGCAUCGUCUAAUAAUUACUUGGAUCUUUGAUUUAUACUUCAUUUUUGCAGGUAGCGUCAGAACAAGAAAGCAUGGACGGACAAGAGAGCGUGGAGGGCAAGUGGGAAAAAAGUUACACAAUUGCAAACUGGAGAAAAGUUUACGGUAGAAUUCGAUGACAAUCACCGACCCGUGGGAGAACAACAUCCCAAAUUUGUGUCACACCAAGGGGUGAUUGUAAGAAACAUGCUUAUUACACCUGUAUCAAAAGAAAAUUGGCAUCAUGUUGAGAAAGAGAAGAAGGAGCUCAUGCUUGCUAAU
Molecule: long non-coding RNA, 703 nt
Organism: Tripterygium wilfordii
Lineage: Eukaryota; Viridiplantae; Streptophyta; Magnoliopsida; Celastrales; Celastraceae
Exons: 3
Source: RefSeq, a predicted model, not a curated record